AACUCAGCAACACUGCGCUGCCCCGCUCAAAUCAAUCUCUUCGAUGGCGUCGCAUCAUAGUUUUACAAAUAAGAGUGAAUUAUUGACUUUUAAUACUAAUGACCAGCUUAAAGAUAGAAGUUAGUUAGUAUCUUCGAUUAUGUUAAUUGUUUUUUUCUGAGAAUAUAACUGUUGAUUUGUGAUAAUGGAUGGAAAAACAUCCGACUGGAGGCCCGGGCCAAGUGUGUGUCGGUGUUGUCUCGCCGAAGGAUGUUAUAAGGACAUUUCGACUGAAUACUUUUGGAUGGGAAAGAGAGAAGUUUAUGCUGAUAUGUUGUCGGAUACUUUCAGUGUAUCUAUCGCGUAUUCUUCGGCGGGAGGUCCGAAUAGCCAUAGCCGGCUAAUAUGUGAGCCAUGUAUCUCGCGGCUACGCGACGCGGCCGACUUCAAGCGGCAGGUGCAGGAGUGCGAGAGGACCUUCAUGCAGCACCUCGACCCUGGCAGCACCUCCGCCGCCAACGACAUCGAUAUUGAAGCCCAGCCCGCGGGGAAGGAGGUGAAGUUAGAGCAGGUGAAACUAGAGAAGCGGUUCAGCGACGAUGACUUCGACACCGCAGACUUCGGAGAUGAAGAUGACGAUGACAUGGACGACCAACCGCUCACCAAGUUUGCGACGAAAGUGCCCAAAAAAGAGGCCGUCGACUUCUUAGACUUGAUAGACAACUCUCAGAUCACCGUGAAGAGAAUGUCCAUGAGUAAAAGCAAAGCACCGCCCGCAAAGAAAGUAAAAGUGACCAAAAAAGAACCAGCCAAGCCGACCGCCAGCAAAGCGCCCAUCAAAGUCGUCAAAGAGAAGAAGAAAAAAGAGGGCAAGCAGCUCUCCAUCUUGCAGAGAAAGGAGACCACUACACCGAUUACGACCGCCCGUAAUAAUGCGGCCUUAAUAAUAGCCAACUCGACGGCGUAUCCCUUUCGGCUACCGAAUGCCCGCGUUAUGUGUGUCUUCUGCUGCGAGGAUUAUACCAACUCGUCGCAAUUUAGACAGCAUAUGGCGACCGAGCAUUCAGAUUUCAAAAUACAUACUGCCUUUGCUCAUUGCCCUUCCGGUUACCUCAAAGCUGACUGCACUGAUAUACGCUGUAAAUUAUGUUCGGAAGCCCAUCCAACGUUAACAUCGAUAGCUAAGCACUUGAGUGAUGUUCACAAAAUGAAUUUGAAUUGCGAAAUUGAUUUGGGUAUUCAACCGUACAAGUUUUUGAAUGAGAAAUUCCUUUGUGGGGUUUGUGACGGAAACUUCCCCUGCUUACGUCAGCUGAGCCGGCACAUGUCGUCACAUUUUAGAAAUUUUACUUGUGAGGACUGUGGCAAAUCAUAUCCGACGAAAGACUCCCUCCAGGCUCAUUUGAGAUUCUCUCAUAUUAAAGAUGAUCGCAUUUGCAGAAAGUGUAAACAGACGUUCAAUUCAUUAGAAGCAAAGAAAGAGCAUAUGGCGUCUUCGCCGAAAUGCUGGAUGUAUAAUUGUUACAGAUGCUCGCAAAGAUUUAUGACUUGGAAAUUUAAAGAGCAGCACAUGGUCGAGGUCCACGGUAGGAAGAAAAAGACACACUCCUGUCCUGAGUGUGGAGACACGUUCCCAACAAGGUCUACUUAUAGAGUUCAUUUUGCCACUAAUCAUACCGGGACAUCCUUUCAAUGUCCCGACUGCGGGAGGAAGUUCACCAGAAAAAAGAACUUAGAUCAGCACAGUGUCGUCCACACCGGUAUCAAGACUUAUGAAUGUGAUGUAUGUUCCAAAAUGUUUCCGAGGAAAGAUAAUUUGAGACAACACAUGUGGAUACAUUCUGAAUACAAGAGAUUUGAAUGUGUACCGUGCAAGAAGAAAUUCAACCAGAAAGUCAGUUUUAGAUCGCAUAUGAAGACCCAUCAUUCUGCCUAAUUCUAUAAGAAACUCACUAAUUUGGGUUAUAAUUAUAAUAAGAGGUAGAAGAUGUUUGAAAAAAACAAAGCCCGAUGCACAUCGCGAGACAGAACGCCCGGACCAUAGUGGUACAUACCACAGCGUAUCCGUUUCGACUGCCCGAGAGUGACAUGGUCUGCGUGUAUUGUCACGAAAGCUAUUCAAAUCCAGACAUGUUCAGAGAGCAUAUGACUGAUAUGCAUAUGGAAGUCAAAUUGAGAAUCGCAUUUGCCCACGUUAGCGAAG
This 2182-nucleotide unclassified non-coding RNA is filed under the name Manduca sexta (tobacco hornworm). RNAcentral's name for it is "gastrula zinc finger protein XlCGF57.1, transcript variant X8". The record is from RNAcentral. Lineage: Eukaryota; Metazoa; Arthropoda; Insecta; Lepidoptera; Sphingidae.